CGGGGCGUGGCUCAGCCUGGUAGAGCACCGCGUUCGGGACGCGGGGGUCGGAGGUUCAAAUCCUCUCGCCCCGACCA
This 77-nucleotide transfer RNA is filed under the name Deltaproteobacteria bacterium. RNAcentral describes it as "tRNA-Pro". It matches the Rfam family "tRNA". Rfam says of the family: Transfer RNA (tRNA) molecules are approximately 80 nucleotides in length. Their secondary structure includes four short double-helical elements and three loops (D, anti-codon, and T loops). The record is from RNAcentral. RNAcentral also lists the same sequence under 3 other names. Lineage: Bacteria; Pseudomonadati; Myxococcota; Myxococcia.